CGCCUACUUUUGGAGCUCUUUAGUAUGAAGAUAAGAAAAAUAUACGAAAUUACGGAACUGUGUACCCUGUUUUAUCCUUGUUGUUGGUGUUUCUUGCGCAUGCGCACAAAGCACGGUGAUAGUUACGGUUACUGACUCAGGAACCUUGUAUAUUAUAUACCUCGGUUUACAGACGUUUAAUAAACUGGAUCCCUGUUGUGUUCACUUAUCGAUACACUACGAUGGAAUUACGGACCAGUUUAACAUAAACAUGGUAAAUAGAUAGACAGCUGAUAAUCAUAAUUGAUUAAGAAAUAACCUGGAAGAAGAAAUGAGUUAACUAUUGAUUAUAACAGAGACGAGAAUGCCAUCGUGUUGGUUCUGCUAAAAAAAGCAGGAACAUUGGAGUUUAUGGUUAGCUGGUUAGAUUUUAAAUAUUUAUUGUCUCCAAACUGGGUAAAUUUGAUAUAGUAACAACCCCCCCCUUUUUUUUUUAAAUAACUCGAGAACCACACAUCGCGCUCGCUUAACAAAGUAACAAUAAGAAAUAAUUAUUGUUAGUUUCAAGAAUAAUUAAUCGUCAAAACUUAUCCCCUCCCCGACAUCAAAGGAAGUUAAAUGUAUUAUCCCAAAAUUAGACCAAAUUAUUAUGAUAUAUAAGGACGUCUUGACAGGCUAUUAUUUUAUUUUGUUUUGUUGGUGUUUUUUUUUUUUUGCUUUGACGUCUUCCUCCUGUAUGAAAAAAACAUAAUAGACCCCCCCCCCCUUUUUCCCCAUAAUAUAGCUUUUUAAGAAGUCAUAAUUAUUUGGACUACCCCUGAAUAUAUUUCAGACAGACUCUUCUCUAAAAAAAUGUAAACAUGAUUUGAGAGAAAUCUUUGGAAUAGUUUUUUAAAUGAUUUAAUUAUUAUAUGUCAUGUAUAUAAUUAACAUAGUUAUAAACUGAGACUACUAGUAUAACACAUAGUGUUAUAGUAGUCUCAGCUAUAAACUUUCCAUUGUAUUGACCAAUAUGACUAACUCAUAUGCUCUUUCCCAUAAAUGUCACAAUAUCAAUAUAUUACAGUAAAACUGAUAGUUUGAUGACAUUGUUUAAGACUAUUGACCUCAGGUCAGCCUAAACUGAGUUUAAAACUUGUAAUUUAUUCAUUAAAACAGUUCAAGACAUGUACCUUCUGAAAUGUGAUUGCAUCAAAAUUAAACCUAAGGCAUAACAUACUUAGUGUGCAGGAAGUGCCACCAAAUAAAUACUGAUUUGUAAAAUUAGAUGAUGAUAUUUGUGAAGUCAAAGAUAUUAUAGCUAGUUAUAACUGGUUUUAGAUAUAAAUCUGAGUAAAAGGUUGAUUUAUAUGUGCUCUUUCAUGUUUAGAUUAUAAUUUAAAUUUAAUCUUUUGAAGUUUUUUUUAUAAUAUUAAGACAUUAAAAUCACAAUUAUUUAUUUAUACACAAAAAAAUAAUUUUUGUCCUUUUUUAGUUGAAUGACUGUACACAAACAUUAUACACACAUAAUUUUGAUAAUUCUGUAAUGUUUUUUUUCUAUAGCCCCAGAAUGUGACAAAAGACUUAUUAAUCCAGAUUUACAAAAAAUAGAAAUAGUUCAGCUACCAUAAGACUGCUAUGACAAAAAUUGUGCAGUUUCCAGAAUUUGAGGUAGAGUAUAGUUAGGAAUAGUUUGAUUAUGCAGAUGCUUAGUUUGCCAUAAACAAUUAUGCCCUUGAUACAAAAGCAGAGGAAACAAAAAAGUAUGAAAAUAGUUGAAAAAAGUAAUCAUUAUUACCUAGUCAUAUACUGUAAAUAGAAAAAGAGAAAAGCACUGGUUAUGAUUUGGUAUUUUUAAUAGCAUUAUCAUUUGUCCAUAACUUGGAAUAUAUACUGGAUUGAGCUUGACAUUUAUUUAAUAUCAUUGACACAUGGUUGCAAGAAAUGAAAGAUGGUAAUUUAAACCUAGCAAUUUUAUUAAGAUUUAAAAAAAAAGCUUUUGAUUUGGUAGAAUAUGACUUUCUUUGUUUAAAGCUCGACAUGUAUGGAUUUAGUGAGACUACUGUUAGUUUUUUUAAGUCGUACCUGAAUAACAAAAGGUAUACAUUUGUAAUGUUAACUCUGAACAACAACAUGUAAAAUUUGGUGUUCCCCAAUGUUCUAUACCUUGUCCUCUAUUGUUUGUGCUAUUUAUAAAUGACCUUCCCUUAUGCAUUAAAAAUUGUGAAACAGACCUAUAUCGUUGUAUAUGCUGAUGACACCACUAUUCAUAAAUCAGGGGGAAACAUCUAGAAAAUAUAAAUGAUGAUGUUCAAGAAGAUUUAUACAGGGUUGAAGAGUGGUGUAAAAUGAAUAACAUGUUCAUAGAUGCAAAUGAAACAAAAUGUUUGAUUACUGGAACAAAGCAGAAACUAUUCAGACUUUUCAACCAAACUUGAUAAUAAAUUAAAGUAUUACAAAAUUCUUCAUGUGAAAAAAUAUUAGUUUCAAAAUUGACAGCCCACUAAGUAACUGGAGAAAUCAAAUUGACCAAGGUUGUGCUAAUAUAUCAUCCAGAAUAUACCCAUCUUUCUUAAAUACAUUUUUUUUUAUAUAACUGCAAGAAAACAUAAUACAAUGGGUGUUCUGCCCCUAAUUGACUACUGUUGUAUUAUUUGGGAUGAAUGUAAAAAUUGAGGGAUAACAAGAAUUUUAAAAAUCCAAAAAAAGGGCAGCAUGAUAAAUUCUAGAUGCAGAUCCGUUAUCCCUCUUGGUAUAUAGGAGCACUAUAUUCUAUGUUAACCUCCGACAGUAGGUAUAAACAAAUACUGUUGAUAGACGGUAUAUAGGAGCACUAUAUUCCAUGUUAACCACUGACGGUAGGUAUAGCCAAAUACUGUUGAUAGACGGUAUAUAGGAGCACUAUAUCUUAUGUUAACCACCGACGGUAGGUAUAGACAAAUACUGGUGAUAGACGGUAUAUAGGAGCACUAUAUUGUAUGUUAACCACCGACGGUAGGUAUAGACAAAUACUGUUGAUAGACGGUAUAUAGGAGCACUAUAUUGUAUGUUAACUACCGACGGUAGGUAUAGACAAAUACUGUUGAUAGACGGUAUAUAGGAGCACUAUAUUGUAUGUUAACCACCGACGGUAGGUAUAGACAAAUACUGUUGAUAGACGGUAUAUAGGAGCACUAUAUUGUAUGUUAACUACCGACAGGUAGGUAUAGACAAAUACUGUUGAUAGACGGUAUAUAGGAGCACUAUAUUGUAUGUUAACCACCGACGGUAGGUAUAGACAAAUACUGUUGAUAGACGGUAUAUAUACAUUGUAGGAGCACUAUAUUGUAUGUUAACCACCGACGGUAGGUAUAGACAAAUACUGUUGAUAGACGGUAUAUAGGAGCACUAUAUUGUAUGUUAACUACCGACAGGUAGGUAUAGACAAAUACUGUUGAUAGACGGUAUAUAGGAGCACUAUAUUGUAUGUUAACUACCGACAGGUAGGUAUAGACAAAUACUGUUGAUAGACGGUAUAUAGGAGCACUAUAUUGUAUGUUAACUACCGACAGUAGGUAUAGACAAAUACUGUUGAUAGACGGUAUAUAGGAGCACUAUAUUGUAUGUUAACCACCGACGGUAGGUAUAGACAAAUACUGUUGAUAGACGGUAUAUAGGAGCACUAUAUUGUAUGUUAACUACCGACGGUAGGUAUAGACAAAUACUGUUGAUAGACGGUAUAUAGGAGCACUAUAUUGUAUGUUAACCACCGACGGUAGGUAUAGACAAAUACUGUUGAUAGACGGUAUAUAGGAGCACUAUAUUGUAUGUUAACUACCGACAGGUAGGUAUAGACAAAUACUGUUGAUAGACGGUAUAUAGGAGCACUAUAUUGUAUGUUAACUACCGACGGUAGGUAUAUAGACAAAUACUGUUGAUAGACGGUAUAUAGGAGCACUAUAUUGUAUGUUAACCACCGACGGUAGGUAUAGACAAAUACUGUUGAUAGACGGUAUAUAGGAGCACUAUAUUGUAUGUUAACUACCGACAGUAGGUAUAGACAAAUACUGUUGAUAGACGGUAUAUAGGAGCACUAUAUUGUAUGUUAACCACCGACGGUAGGUAUAGACAAAUACUGUUGAUAGACGGUAUAUAGGAGCACUAUAUUGUAUGUUAACCACCGACGGUAGGUAUAGACAAAUACUGUUGAUAGACGGUAUAUAGGAGCACUAUAUUGUAUGUUAACCACCGACGGUAGGUAUAGACAAAUACUGUUGAUAGUAUAUAGGAGCACUAUAUUGUAUGUUAACUACCGACGGUAGGUAUAGACAAAUACUGACAAUAGACGGUAUAUAGGAGCAUUAUAUUGCAUGUUAACCACCGACGGUAAGUAUAGACAAAUACUGUUGAUAGACGGUGUAAAGGAGUACUAAUUCGUAUGUUAACCACCGACGGUAGGUAUAGACAAAUACUGUUGAUAUACGGUGAAUAGGAGUACUGUAUUGCAUGUUAACUACCGACGGUAGGUAUAGACAAUACUGUUUAUAGACCUAUAUGUAUGUUAACAUAUUUAUAGAUGUAACAUAUGUAUAUUGAUAAAUCUGUAUAAUUUUAGAUGUUAUUUACCAUGAAUUUAUUUACCCAAGUUGUGGAAACGUUUAAUAAAUACCGUUAAUUCACCAUUAAAAUGUUAUAUUGUCGUAAGUAAUGAACUUGAAGGAAGGAAAAAUACGACAAAAGUAUACGUUUUCAAUAAAUAUUAUAUCAAAACUUUAAUACGGUUAUAGAUGGUCAUAUAUCUGUAUGUAAAAUUUAUCCUAAUACAAAUAUAUCCGACACUUGGUAAAUAAAACCAUAUUUACUUGAUAAUUUGAAUUGAUGUAUUAACUUGACACGUAAUUGUCGAUACAACCAUUGUAUUAUAUAACCCGAUUUGAAAUAUUAUUUACCAAGUCAUUUGAAGUAAAAUGUACUAUAAAUGACGUGUAUAAUACGGUUGCAUGAAUUCAAUGAUAUUAUGAAACUGUAUAAGUAGUUACUGUUUAUGACAACAUACCGUAUAUAAAUACCACGAUAAAGUAUCUGUAUAGUACACAUAUAUUGAGGUAUGACAAAUUUUGUGUAACUACCGUUUGUUAUACGUACGGGAUUACUGUAUGUUAGCAAUUGUAUAUGAAUACUGUUGAUCUAACUACAUUGGGUAUAUUGAUUGUAUAUAACUGUACUUGAAGACUGUGUAUAUGGGUAUAGACUAAAUACUACGUAUGGUAUAGACAUACUAUACUGUUAGUAUAUUGACAUAGUUAAUAUGUAUUGAUAGACGAUGAUAUGUAUAGACAUAUAGGACACUAUACGACAGUGUUAUGUAGUACAUAUAGGUACAAAUAGAUAUACUAAAUAUGACUAUAGAUAACAUAUAUGAUACACUAGAAAUAUACACUAUAUAGGUAUAUGUUGUGUUAUACUCCACCGACGGUAGGUAUAGACAAAUACUGUUGAUAGACGGUAUAAAGGAGCUUUAUUGUAUGUUAACCACCGACGGUAGGUAUAGACAAAUACUGUUGAUAGACGGUAUAUAGGAGCACUAUAUUGUAUGUUAACCACCGACGGUAGGUAUAGACAAAUACUGUUGAUAGACGGUAUAUAGGAGCACUAUAUUGUAUGUUAACCACCGACGGUAGGUAUAGACAAAUACUGUUGAUAGACGGUAUAUAGGAGCACUAUAUGUAUGUUAACCACCGACAGUAGGUAUAGACAAAUACUGUUGAUAGACGUAUAUAGGAGCACUAUAUAUGUAUGUUAACUACCGACGGUAGGUAUAGACAAAUACUGUUGAUAGACGGUAUAUAGGAGCACUAUAUUGUAUGUUAACCACCGACAGUAGGUAUAGACAAAUACUGUUGAUAGACGGUAUAUAGGAGCACUAUAUUGUAUGUUAACCACCGACGGUAGGUAUAGACAAAUACUGUUGAUAGACGGUAUAUAGGAGCACUAUAUUGUAUGUUAACCACCGACGGUAGGUAUAGACAAAUACUGUUGAUAGACGGUAUAUAGGAGCACUAUAUUGUAUGUUAACCACCGACGGUAGGUAUAGACAAAUACUGUUGAUGGACGGUGCAAAGGAGUACUAUAUCGUAUGUUAACCACUGACGGUAGGUAUAGACAAAUACUGUUGAUAGACGGUAUAUAGGAGGACUGUAUUGUAUGUUAACCACCGACGGUAGGUAUAGACAAAUACUGUUGAUAUACGGUAUAUAGGAGUAUUGUAUUUUAUGUCAAACAUCGACGAUAGGUAUGGACAAAAUCCGACAAAUACUGUAUACAGACAGUGUAUAGAAGUACUGUAUUGUAUGGUAAACACUGACGGUUGGUAUGGACAAUUUCUGUAUCAUGCAUCAAUUGUAAAUAAAAGUAUCAUGUGAGUGACACAGGCUCAUUGAAGCCUCUAGUUUUGAUAUUAUUAAUGUGGAGAUCUGGUCUAAUUUAUCAUUUUCUCUAUUACAUGCAUGAUAACUGCAACAAUUGAAUUGAAAUAAAAGUGAUAAUAUUUUCUGUUGUAGGUUAUCAAGAUUUAGUGUUUCCAUACAAGUGACAAAGAUUGAACAACAAAAACAUCUCAAACUUUACAGGACAGAGUAGACUUUUUUCACUGUGCUUAGUUUUGUCUUUAUGUCUAAAUUAUGAUACCUUUAAAAAAACCAAUAAAAU
This 6645-nucleotide long non-coding RNA is filed under the name Mytilus galloprovincialis (Mediterranean mussel). The record is from RNAcentral. Lineage: Eukaryota; Metazoa; Mollusca; Bivalvia; Mytilida; Mytilidae.